GCGAACGCUGGCGGCAGGCUUAACACCUGCAAGUCGAGCGGGCAUCCUUGUGGUGUCAGCGGCAGACGGGUGAGUAACGCGUGGGAACGUGCCCUUCGGUUCGGAAUAACUCAGAGAAACUUGAGCUAAUACCGGAUACGUGCGAGAGCAGAAAGGUUUAUCUGCCGAAGGAUCGGCCCGCGUCUGAUUAGCUAGUUGGUGAGGUUACGGCUCACCAAGGCGACGAUCAGUAGCUGGUCUGAGAGGAUGAUCAGCCACACUGGGACUGAGACACGGCCCAGACUCCUACGGGAGGCAGCAGUGGGGAAUAUUGGACAAUGGGGGCAACCCUGAUCCAGCCAUGCCGCGUGAGUGAUGACGGCCUUAGGGUUGUAAAGCUCUUUUCUCCGGGACGAUAAUGACGGUACCGGAGGAAUAAGCCCCGGCUAACUUCGUG
This 436-nucleotide ribosomal RNA is filed under the name uncultured bacterium. Its description in RNAcentral is "partial 16S ribosomal RNA". It matches the Rfam family "Bacterial small subunit ribosomal RNA", at positions 29 to 507 of the family's 1533-position model. The record is from RNAcentral.